RNAcentral lists this ribosomal RNA (253 nucleotides) under uncultured bacterium. RNAcentral describes it as "partial 16S ribosomal RNA". It matches the Rfam family "Bacterial small subunit ribosomal RNA", at positions 524 to 776 of the family's 1533-position model. The record is from RNAcentral.
UACGUAGGUGGCAAGCGUUGUCCGGAUUUACUGGGCGUAAAGAGCGCGCAGGCGGUCGUACAAGUCGCGUGUGAAAGCCCCCGGCUCAACUGGGGAGGGUCACGCGAUACUGUUCGACUCGAAGGCAGGAGAGGGAAGUGGAAUUCCCGGUGUAGUGGUGAAAUGCGUAGAUAUCAGGAGGAACACCUGCGGUGUAGACGGCUUACUGGACCAUCACUGACGCUGAGGCACGAAAGCGUGGGUAGCAAACAGG